RNAcentral lists this ribosomal RNA (253 nucleotides) under uncultured bacterium. RNAcentral's name for it is "partial 16S ribosomal RNA". It matches the Rfam family "Bacterial small subunit ribosomal RNA", at positions 524 to 776 of the family's 1533-position model. The record is from RNAcentral.
UACGUAGGGGGCAAGCGUUAUCCGGAUUUACUGGGUGUAAAGGGGGCGCAGACGGCAAUGCAAGCCAGGAGUGAAAGCCCGGGGCCCAACCCCGGGACUGCUCUUGGAACUGCAUGGCUGGAGUACAGGAGGGGCAGGCGGAAUUCCUAGUGUAGCGGUGAAAUGCGUAGAUAUUAGGAGGAACACCGGUGGCGAAGGCGGCCUGCUGGGCUGUGACUGACGUUGAGGCCCGAAGGCGUGGGGAGCAAACAGG